UCAUCAUGCCCUUAUGACCUAGGGCUACACACGUGCUACAAUGGUGGUACAGAGGGCAGCCAAGCCGUGAGGUGGAGCUAAUCCCACAAAGCCGAUCGUAGUCCGGAUCGGAGUCUGCAACUCGACUCCGUGAAGUCGGAAUCGCUAGUAAUCGCGGAUCAGAAUGCCGCGGUGAAUACGUUCCCGGGCCUU
This 192-nucleotide ribosomal RNA is filed under the name uncultured Gammaproteobacteria bacterium. RNAcentral describes it as "partial 16S ribosomal RNA". It matches the Rfam family "Bacterial small subunit ribosomal RNA", at positions 1190 to 1382 of the family's 1533-position model. The record is from RNAcentral. Lineage: Bacteria; Pseudomonadati; Pseudomonadota; Gammaproteobacteria.